RNAcentral lists this ribosomal RNA (497 nucleotides) under uncultured bacterium. RNAcentral describes it as "partial 16S ribosomal RNA". It matches the Rfam family "Bacterial small subunit ribosomal RNA", at positions 28 to 507 of the family's 1533-position model. The record is from RNAcentral.
GAUGAACGCUGGCGGCGUGCCUAAUACAUGCAAGUCGAGCGAACGGACGAGAAGCUUGCUUCUCUGAUGUUAGCGGCGGACGGGUGAGUAACACGUGGAUAACCUACCUAUAAGACUGGGAUAACUUCGGGAAACCGGAGCUAAUCCCGGAUAAUAUUUUGAACCGCAUGAUUCAAAAGUGAAAGACGGUCUUGCUGUCACUUAUAGAUGGAUCCGCGCUGCAUUAGCUAGUUGGUAAGGUAACGGCUUACCAAGGCAACGAUGCAUAGCCGACGUGCGAGGGUGAUCGGCCACACUGGAGCUGAGACACGGUCCAUGCUCCUACGGGAGGCAGCAGUAGGGAAUCUUCCGCAGUGGGCGAAAGCCUGACGGAGCAACGCCGCGUGAGUGAUGAAGGUCUUCGGAUCGUAAAACUCUGUUAUUAGGGAAGAACAUAUGUGUAAGUAACUGUGCACAUCUUGACGGUACCUAAUCAGAAAGCCACGGCUAACUACGUG